Molecule: long non-coding RNA, 244 nt
Filed under: Olea europaea (common olive)
Lineage: Eukaryota; Viridiplantae; Streptophyta; Magnoliopsida; Lamiales; Oleaceae
Description: long non-coding RNA (OEUR_LNC000799)
Source: RNAcentral
UGCUAUAAUUAAGUCGUAGAUUACAGUUAAUAUACUAGAUUAUGUUUUGUUUAUAGUUACUUAUAUAGUUUUUAUAUUCGACCUAGACAGGUUGUGUGCGUCUUCUAGUUUCAUCUUCAUUGCCAUUGAUCUUUAUGUAACCAAAACAUAAUUCAUUUACAACAAGUUUCAAAUUGUUAAAUAUGGAACAAGACCCAAAAAUUAAUGGAAGUGGUACAAUAAUUUACCAUCAUUUUGAUUGCCU